GCCCCCCCCGUUCACCUUAGGGCCCCCCCGUUCACCCCGGGGCCCCUCCGGGGUGUGCUGUGGGUCUUCAGGGACCUGGAGGACUUGUGUCUCCAGCCAUCCUGUCCACAGAGUAGCUCCCUGUGUGCCACCCGGCCUCCUCCCGUCUCGCCUCACCCUUGCCCUUGCCUCACCUGGCCCUUCUGGGGUCCCGGUAGUCCCGGCGUUUCCAGAAUGUGGAUACUUGGCGGCAGACACUCUGCAGCCUUUUCAGCCUGGCUUCCCGCGCUUGGGAAUCGGCGUUGAGGCUUCAUCUGGGCCUUUUCAGGCACCAUCCAUUUGUUUCAUCCAUCGUGUAACAGUAGUGGGAAACCUGAGACACUAAAGCCCGGGAAAAAAAAUGAAUGAUGCAGCUCACCAGAGACUACGUAGCUAGAGAAUGGCCAAACUGGGUUUCGAAUCUAGGCGAUCUUGACACCCCCUCCCCUAGGGCCCUCCGGCUUAAAGGCAUGCAGUGAGAGAGAGAGGCAGAGACACAGGCAGAGGGAGAAGCAGGCUCCAUGCACCGAGAGCCCGACGCGGGAUUCGAUCCCGGGUCUCCAGGAUCGCGCCCUGGGCCAAAGGCAAGCGCCAAACCGCUGCGCCACCCAGGGAUCCCUCAUGAGCAUUUUAAAAUCCUAGUCUCCUGUUCUCAGAAGCCCUACCAGAAGCCGUAACAGGCUCCCCUAACUACCAUCAUGCCUGACACACACUGCUGGAGGGCUUGAUGACUCUUUAUGGAAGAUGUAUUUAUU
Molecule: long non-coding RNA, 773 nt
Organism: Canis lupus familiaris (dog)
Lineage: Eukaryota; Metazoa; Chordata; Mammalia; Carnivora; Canidae
Exons: 3
Source: RefSeq, a predicted model, not a curated record